UUUCAAAAAGAGAGUCAUCAGUAAUGUCAAAGGUUGCAGAAAACUAGUUCCAGAGUCUAUAAAGUGAAUCCACUGGGGACGACCUGGAGAGAAGAGGAAAGUUUGUUUCAGAAGGAACUGUCUGAGAAAU
RNAcentral lists this small nucleolar RNA (130 nucleotides) under Propithecus coquereli (Coquerel's sifaka). RNAcentral describes it as "Small nucleolar RNA SNORD22 (ENSPCOG00000003671.1)". It matches the Rfam family "Small nucleolar RNA SNORD22". From Rfam's summary of the family: U22 is a member of the C/D class of snoRNA which contain the C (UGAUGA) and D (CUGA) box motifs. U22 is encoded within the U22 snoRNA host gene (UHG) in mammals and has also been identified in Xenopus. The record is from Rfam by way of RNAcentral. Lineage: Eukaryota; Metazoa; Chordata; Mammalia; Primates; Indriidae.